RNAcentral lists this ribosomal RNA (79 nucleotides) under Shigella flexneri. RNAcentral's name for it is "partial 16S ribosomal RNA". It matches the Rfam family "Bacterial small subunit ribosomal RNA", at positions 1 to 79 of the family's 1533-position model. Lineage: Bacteria; Pseudomonadati; Pseudomonadota; Gammaproteobacteria; Enterobacterales; Enterobacteriaceae. The record is from RNAcentral.
AAAUUGAAGAGUUUGAUCAUGGCUCAGAUUGAACGCUGGCGGCAGGCCUAACACAUGCAAGUCGAACGGUGACAGGAAG